UACGUAGGGUGCGAGCGUUGUCCGGAAUUAUUGGGCGUAAAGAGCUUGUAGGCGGUCUGUUGCGUCUGCUGUGAAAAUCCGGGGCUCAACCCCGGACUUGCAGUGGGUACGGGCAGACUAGAGUGUGGUAGGGGAGACUGGAAUUCCUGGUGUAGCGGUGAAAUGCGCAGAUAUCAGGAGGAACACCGAUGGCGAAGGCAGGUCUCUGGGCCACUACUGACGCUGAGAAGCGAAAGCAUGGGGGGCGAACAGG
Molecule: ribosomal RNA, 253 nt
Filed under: uncultured bacterium
Lineage: Bacteria
Description: partial 16S ribosomal RNA
Rfam family: Bacterial small subunit ribosomal RNA
Source: RNAcentral